AAGACCUUGCGCUUUUGGAGCGGCCGAUGUCUGAUUAGCUUGUUGGUGAGGUAAAAGCUUACCAAGGCUUCGAUCAGUAGCUGGUCUGAGAGGACGGCCAGCCACACUGGGACUGAGACACGGCCCAGACUCCUACGGGAGGCAGCAGUGGGGAAUUUUGGACAAUGGGGGCAACCCUGAUCCAGCCAUGCCGCGUGAGUGAAGAAGGCCUUCGGGUUGUAAAGCUCUUUCAGCCGGAACGAAACGGUUACGGUUAAUACCCGUGACUACUGACGGUACCGGAAGAAGAAGCACCGGCUAACUACGUGCCAGCAGCCGCGGUAAUACGUAGGGUGCAAGCGUUAAUCGGAAUUACUGGGCGUAAAGCGUGCGCAGGUGGUUUUGUAAGUCAGAUGUGAAAUCCCCGGACUUAACCUGGGAACU
This 423-nucleotide ribosomal RNA is filed under the name uncultured bacterium. Its description in RNAcentral is "bacterial SSU rRNA". It matches the Rfam family "Bacterial small subunit ribosomal RNA", at positions 207 to 622 of the family's 1533-position model. The record is from RNAcentral.